This 477-nucleotide ribosomal RNA is filed under the name uncultured Providencia sp. Its description in RNAcentral is "bacterial SSU rRNA". It matches the Rfam family "Bacterial small subunit ribosomal RNA", at positions 30 to 496 of the family's 1533-position model. Lineage: Bacteria; Pseudomonadati; Pseudomonadota; Gammaproteobacteria; Enterobacterales; Morganellaceae. The record is from RNAcentral.
AUUGAACGCUGGCGGCAGGCCUAACACAUGCAAGUCGAGCGGUAACAGGGGAAGCUUGCUUCUCGCUGACGAGCGGCGGACGGGUGGGUAAUGUAUGGGGAUCUGCCCGAUAGAGGGGGAUAACUACUGGAAACGGUGGCUAAUACCGCAUAAUCUCUCAGGAGCAAAGCAGGGGAACUUCGGUCCUUGCGCUAUCGGAUGAACCCAUAUGGGAUUAGCUAGUAGGUGAGGUAAUGGCUCACCUAGGCGACGAUCCCUAGCUGGUCUGAGAGGAUGAUCAGCCACACUGGGACUGAGACACGGCCCAGACUCCUACGGGAGGCAGCAGUGGGGAAUAUUGCACAAUGGGCGCAAGCCUGAUGCAGCCAUGCCGCGUGUAUGAAGAAGGCCCUAGGGUUGUAAAGUACUUUCAGUCGGGAGGAAGGCGUUAAUGCUAAUAUCAUUAACGAUUGACGUUACCGACAGAAGAAGCACCGG